Molecule: small RNA, 80 nt
Filed under: Pustulibacterium marinum
Lineage: Bacteria; Pseudomonadati; Bacteroidota; Flavobacteriia; Flavobacteriales; Flavobacteriaceae
Description: Flavo-1 RNA
Rfam family: Flavo-1 RNA
Source: Rfam by way of RNAcentral
ACCUAGCCCCGAUUGCAGCGACAUCCUUUUUUUGCUUGAACAAAUGGCAAAAAAAGAUAUAGCGAAAAGCGGGAACACCG